Non-coding RNA from Phoenix dactylifera (date palm), 4099 nucleotides. The record is from RefSeq and is a predicted model, not a curated record. NCBI's taxonomy places the organism in Eukaryota, Viridiplantae, Streptophyta, Magnoliopsida, Arecales, Arecaceae.
GACAACCCCCUUCUCACUCUCUCUCGGCCUCCCUCCCUCCCCGGGGGGUUUAUUCUUCAGUCCCUUUCCUUCUCCUUUUGGCCUCUCUCUCCUCCGCCUUUCGCUCUCGAAUCUCCAUGUCCUCUCUCUCUCUCUCUCUCUCUGCUUGCGCCUUCCAAUUCUCCGAAUUCCCUCUCAUCGGUUUCUUUUCUCUUGGCUGCUUCUUCGCUUCUAAGGUUUCUAGGGUUUUGGGUGCUCCAUUCGCCGGAGCCAGCUCGAGCUCCGGCGGGGGAUCGAGCGCCGAGCGCUGGGCCCAUCUAGGGUAAGAACUAGGCAAGGAGGAACAGUAGUCGUGCGCGGAUUGCCGCUCGUCUUCCUCACUAGUUCAAUUGGGUGGAAUCUGAGGGUUUUGCGAGGCGCUGAUCUGUAGAUUGCUGCAAGAGCUCGUGGAAGUUUGCUUGCUUCGGGUGUGCGGAUGGCUUUUCUUAGUUAAGUCAAGAAAGGAAAUUCAUUCAGUUGAGGUAUCAGUUAAUGAUGUUGGACAAAAAUCCAUUGUUUGAUGGGCUCCAUUAUUAGUCAGUCCUUUCUUGUGAAUGCUACUACUGAGUGUAGAAGCUGUUGCUUUAAAUGAAUAUAUGAGUUUGUACUGCAGUUGAUUCUAGAGCUAUGGGUUAUGAUUGGUAUUCUUAAACAACUGUGCUGCAAUUUAGAGAUCUGCGAUAAGAGUUCUUUCCACCUUUAAAAUGCCUUCAUGGUGGGGGAAAUCUUCCUCUAAAGAUGUGAAGAAGAAGACAACAAAGGAGAAUCUGAUUGAUACAUUACAUCGGUUUAUAAAUCCAACUGAUCAAAAGGGUAAUGUGAAAUCAGGAGGGGCUCGAAGACAUAGUAAUGAUAUAACCUCAGAGAAGGGGUCCAGAUCAAGAGUAGAAUCACGAUCAACAUCACCCACAACACAGGUAUCGCGUUGUCAAAGUUUUGCAGAUAGGCCACAUGCCCAACCACUUCCUCUCCCUGGCCUGUGUUCAGGCAUUAUGCGCACUUCCUCUGAUGUCAGCACAUCAAAGCCAAUGUUGGAAAAACGUGGCAGACCGCAGCUGCAUUUACCACUUCCUAGACCAAAUCACAAUCCAAAAAGGCCAGAUCCUACUGAUAUUGAUGGAGAUUUGGCUACUGCUUCAAUUUCUAGUAACUGCUCCAUUGAUAGUGAUGAUCCUGCAGAUUCUCAACUUCAAAGUCCUAUCGGAAAUGAUCUUGAACAUGGAAACAGAGGUGUUGCAAACAACCAGUCCAGUGUGGCGCAUAAAGAUCAGUCUCCUGUGGUUACUCGGAAGAACUCGAGAGAAAUGACAAAACCAACGAAUUUGAUUUUUGCAAAUCAAAUUCUUUCAACAUCGCCCAAGCAGGGUGUUCUGAACAGCAACCAGUCCAAUAUACAUGUUCCUAUGCCUGUUGCUCUUGGAAGUGCCCCAGAUAGUUCAAUGUCAAGUCCUUCUAGAAGCCCUAUAAGAGUUGUAUGCCCUGAGCAGAUUCUCGCCUCAGCUUUUUGGGCAGCGAAGCCUCAUGCAGAUGUCACUUUUCUUGGAUCUGGCCAAUGCUCCAGUCCAGGCUCUGGUCAGACCUCUGGGCAUAAUUCAGUGGGAGGAGAUAUGUUAGGGCAGUUAUUCUGGCAGCACAGCAGGGGUAGCCCAGAGUGUUCUCCAAUACCUAGCCCAAGAAUGACAAGUCCUGGUCCUGGCUCUAGGAUACAUAGUGGAACUGUCUCUCCACUGCAUCCACGGGAUGGAGGGACAGCACCAGAAUCACCUACUAGUAGGCAUGAUGAGGGGAAGAAGCAAAGCCACCGGUUGCCACUACCCCCAAUAAAUAUUUCUGGUUCUCCUUUUCCUCCAAACAAUGCAACAUCAAAUACUCCAUCGUCAAUACCUCGAAGUCCUGGAAGGACAGAGAAUCCCACAAGCCCUGGAUCACGGUGGAAGAAGGGGAAGUUGAUUGGGCGUGGCACAUUUGGACAUGUCUAUGUUGGUUUUAACAGUGAGAGUGGUGAAAUGUGUGCAAUGAAGGAGGUUACCCUCUUCAUGGAUGAUGCUAAGUCAAAAGAAAGUGCAAAGCAAUUGGGGCAAGAAAUCUCUCUCUUGAGUCGGUUGCGUCAUCAAAAUAUAGUGCAAUAUUAUGGAAGUGAGAUGAUAGAUGAUAAGCUUUAUAUAUAUCUGGAAUAUGUCUCUGGUGGUUCCAUCCAUAAACUUCUUCAAGAGUAUGGGAAAUUAGGUGAACCAGCGAUUCGUAGCUAUACUCAACAAAUCCUUUCGGGCCUAGCAUAUUUGCAUGCUAAGAAUACUGUCCAUAGAGAUAUCAAAGGUGCAAAUAUUCUUGUAGACCCAAAUGGCCGUGUUAAGCUGGCAGAUUUUGGGAUGGCAAAACAUAUUACUGGACAUUCAUGUCCCUUAUCAUUCAAAGGAAGUCCCUACUGGAUGGCACCUGAGGUUAUAAAAAACACCAAUGGCUGCAAUCUUGCUGUGGACAUUUGGAGCCUAGGAUGCACUGUUUUGGAGAUGGCUACAUCAAAACCACCAUGGAGCCAAUAUGAAGGGAUAGCGGCCAUGUUCAAGAUUGGUAACAGUAAGGAGCUUCCAGCAAUACCUGAUCAUCUCUCAGAUGAGGGCAAGGAUUUUAUAAGGCAGUGUCUGCAACGUGAACCAUCUAAUCGUCCUACAGCAGCUGAGCUUUUGCAGCAUCCGUUUGUGAAAACUGCAGCAUUGAUGGAAAAAUCUGUUUUCAAUUUUGAACUUUUGAAACGGCCUACGCCUGUUUCAAGUGGGCCAAAUUCCAAGGUAAAAUUUCAUGGCGUUGGGCAUGCUAGAAAUCUUUCUUCCUUUGAUGUGGAAGGAGUAGCAAUUCAUCAGAUAAGGGGUGCAAAGGCUUCUACAAUGACCAGUGAUAUUCAUAUGAGGGACAUAUCUUGUCCUGUCUCUCCCAUUGGAAGCCCUCUGCUGAAUUCAAGGUCUCCAAAACAUAUCAAUGGAAGGAUGUCCCCAUCACCCAUAUCAAGCCCUAGAACUGCCUCAGGCUCAUCCACACCCUUGACGGGUGGCAAUGGUGCCAUUCCAUUUAGUCAUCCCAACCAGUCAGCUUACCUUCGUGAGGGGUUCAUGGGCAUGUUAAGAUCCCCACAUGAUCUCUGUACUAGUGGGACAACCUAUCAUGAUCCCAAGCUUGAUCUUUUUAUAGGGAUGCACCAAGGCUCUCCUGUUCUUCGAGAAAGGAUGGCAUCUGAAGCUGACAUUCUCAGUGCUCAAUUUGGAAGGGCAGGACCUGGAAAUCUCCGGGACCCAUAUGAUAGGCAGUCUGUACUGGACUAUCAUGUGCCUCAUCAGAUCUUGAGAGAUCCCACAAAACUGAACCCAUCACUAGACCUUAUGCCCUGAUUCUUCCAUCCUUGGCCGUACAAAUGGUACCGAUUUUGUUAAGGGCUGGUCAGCCAGCGCUGGCUUGCUUUUGAGCUAGUGGAUUAUUUUUUUGGUUCUAGCAUGUUUAGAUCAUCUUCAUUUGCGUAGGAAAUCAAUCCUGUAUAAGCGCCCAAAGUUAACCAUAGAAUAAAUUUCGGGAAAUUUGAAGGCUGAAGCAAUGAUCGUGUGAAGUCCGUAUCUACAAUACUGUGCAUCAAGUUUGUAUUGAAUAGACAUCUUGUUAACCUGAUCUCAGAAUUCGAAGUUGAAUUAUCUGGUUGAGGAUGGCAUUAAAUUGUUAUAUUAAAACUUACAGUGUGCAUACAUUGAAUUUUCAACAGUUCAUGGUUGAUGAUAAACUGUAUAUUUGAAACUAUUCUGGAAGAAAAUUUUUUUUGGAAAUAGUAGGAUUUGUGUUUGUUUUCUAUACCUUCUUUUUUCUCCAUUUUUUGGGUCCAAGGCCAUUGUACAGAAGAUGGGAAACCUCAUUCCGUGACCAGAUUUUGCACUGCAAAGAUGGUUGAGCCUUUGAGAAAUUGUGUUGUCGAUACAUUCCUUACCUCAUCAGAUUUAGUCACCAUGGAUUUCUAGAUGUUGCUUGAGGCACUCGAGCCAUAUCAUUGCUGUAUGAACACUUUGCUGGAAAUUGCAAAAGAUAUUGCUUGAGGCAUUUCUUC